This 482-nucleotide ribosomal RNA is filed under the name uncultured bacterium. RNAcentral describes it as "partial 16S ribosomal RNA". It matches the Rfam family "Bacterial small subunit ribosomal RNA", at positions 30 to 507 of the family's 1533-position model. The record is from RNAcentral.
AUUGAACGCUGGCGGCAUGCUUUACACAUGCAAGUCGAACGGUAACAGGCCGCAAGGUGCUGACGAGUGGCGAACGGGUGAGUAAUGCAUCGGAACGUGCCCAGUCGUGGGGGAUAACUACUCGAAAGAGUAGCUAAUACCGCAUACGAUCUAUGGAUGAAAGCGGGGGACCGUAAGGCCUCGCGCGAUUGGAGCGGCCGAUGUCAGAUUAGGUAGUUGGUGGGGUAAAGGCUCACCAAGCCAACGAUCUGUAGCUGGUCUGAGAGGACGACCAGCCACACUGGGACUGAGACACGGCCCAGACUCCUACGGGAGGCAGCAGUGGGGAAUUUUGGACAAUGGGCGCAAGCCUGAUCCAGCAAUGCCGCGUGCAGGAAGAAGGGCUUCGGGUUGUAAACUGCUUUUGUACGGAACGAAACGGCUCUGGUUAAUACCCGGGGCUAAUGACGGUACCGUAAGAAUAAGCACCGGCUAACUACGUG